This 493-nucleotide ribosomal RNA is filed under the name uncultured bacterium. RNAcentral describes it as "bacterial SSU rRNA". It matches the Rfam family "Bacterial small subunit ribosomal RNA", at positions 28 to 527 of the family's 1533-position model. The record is from RNAcentral.
GACGAACGCUGGCGGCGUGCUUAACACAUGCAAGUCGAACGGACGAGUGAGAUAAGUUUACUUAACUCACAAGUUAGUGGCGGACGGGUGAGUAACACGUGGAUAAUCUACCUGCAACACCGGGAUAACGCUGUGAAAACGGUGCUAAUACCGGAUACGUUCCCUUGUGCGCAUGUAUGAGGGAAGAAAGCUCAGGCGGUUGCAGAUGAGUCCGCGGCUGAUUAGCUAGUUGGUGAGGUAAAGGCUCACCAAGGCGAUGAUCAGUAGCCGGCCUGAGAGGGUGAACGGCCACACUGGGACUGAGACACGGCCCAGACUCCUACGGGAGGCAGCAGUGGGGAAUCUUCCGCAAUGGGCGCAAGCCUGACGGAGCAACGCCGCGUGGGUGAAGAAGGCCUUCGGGUUGUAAGCCUGUCUUAUGGAAGAAGUCAGUGACGGUACCAUAGGAGGAAGCCACGGCUAACUACGUGCCAGCAGCCGCGGUAAUAGUACU